Dendronephthya gigantea is the source of this 312-nucleotide long non-coding RNA. RefSeq lists it as uncharacterized. NCBI's taxonomy places the organism in Eukaryota, Metazoa, Cnidaria, Anthozoa, Malacalcyonacea, Nephtheidae. The record is from RefSeq and is a predicted model, not a curated record. The transcript is spliced from 4 exons.
AAAAUACUGAAGAGUGAAGAAACAUUUGAAACUACUGCACAAUAACGUAUAAACUCGUGUAUACUGAGCAUCAACAACAAUGAAAUUUGCUUUUGAAGUUCUGCUGUUGCUGAUUGUUUGUACAACAUUGUUAUCAGCAAAACCUCACUAUGAAAUUGAGGAAGGACGCGGUGAGAGUGAAAAGGACCAGAGAAGUGUUCAGAAUUGUUCUGGUGGGUGUCCAUCAGGACAAGAAUGUAUUCCAUGCUGGGGAUCUGAGCCUAGUUGCCUACCAAUGGGCGUGAUAUGUUAAAUAAAUUUAUCAUGCAAAAU